RNAcentral lists this ribosomal RNA (253 nucleotides) under uncultured bacterium. RNAcentral's name for it is "partial 16S ribosomal RNA". It matches the Rfam family "Bacterial small subunit ribosomal RNA", at positions 524 to 776 of the family's 1533-position model. The record is from RNAcentral.
UACGUAGGGUGCGAGCGUUGUCCGGAAUUAUUGGGCGUAAAGAGCUUGUAGGCGGUUUGUCGCGUCUGCUGUGAAAAUCCGGGGCUCAACCCCGGACUUGCAGUGGGUACGGGCAGACUAGAGUGCGGUAGGGGAGAUUGGAAUUCCUGGUGUAGCGGUGGAAUGCGCAGAUAUCAGGAGGAACACCAAUGGCGAAGGCAGAUCUCUGGGCCGUAACUGACGCUGAGGAGCGAAAGCAUGGGGAGCGAACAGG